UUGGCUAUUAUUUAUAUUUUAUACUGUAUUAAUAAAGGAAUAUUGGCUCUUUUAUCAUAUUUUUGCCAUAUACCUUUUUUAUCUCAUUUUAUCAAUUUCCUGGUACCCGGUUACUUUUCACCUUGGAGUCUACAUACAGCCAAGAAUCCUGGGUGGGGAUUGUACCACUCGUGCGUUUAUAUUGAGCAGUCUAUUCUGCUCAUCUGAAUUCAAGACUUCGCUCGCAUUAGAAGAUCCUGUUUCUCAUUGAAUACAUUACUCCUUUGCCGAACACAGUAAGAGACGAACAUUAAGGACUGAGAUCUUCAUCUAUCCAUUGGAAUUUAUCUUAAGUACACCAAGU
Pelobates cultripes (western spadefoot toad) is the source of this 343-nucleotide non-coding RNA. NCBI's taxonomy places the organism in Eukaryota, Metazoa, Chordata, Amphibia, Anura, Pelobatidae. The record is from the annotation of a GenBank genome assembly.